UACGAAGGGUGCAAGCGUUACUCGGAAUUACUGGGCGUAAAGCGUGCGUAGGUGGUUCGUUAAGUCUGUCGUGAAAGCCCCGGGCUCAACCUGGGAAUGGCAUUUGGGACUGCAAGGCUUGAGUGCGGCAGAGGAGACUGGAAUUCCUGGUGUAGCAGUGAAAUGCGUAGAUAUCAGGAGGAACACCGAUGGCGAAGGCAGGUCUCUGGGCUGACACUGACGCUCAUGCACGAAAGCGUGGG
Molecule: ribosomal RNA, 242 nt
Filed under: uncultured bacterium
Lineage: Bacteria
Description: partial 16S ribosomal RNA
Rfam family: Bacterial small subunit ribosomal RNA
Source: RNAcentral